GUUGGAAUCUGAAUAUGGUGGAUUUUCUAUUCCACCCAUCUGAUAAGGAGAUUUUGAAGAUCCAAAUCAUCUUAAUCCCUAGACCUGAUCGCCAAGUUUGGGGAGGAUCCCGCAAUGGAUCCUUUUCGAUGAAGACAACUCACCAUCUUCAUGAUAACCUUCAUGCUGAAAAAAUCUUCACAACAAGCUUCUUCCUCUCGUUCUCACCCUUGGGAGCUAGCUCCUGCAAAGGUUUGGAAAAGAAUAUGGAGUUGCAAGACCCUUCCUAAGAUAAUAUCCUUUCUUUGGAGAUGUGCCCAAGGUCUUGCUUCAGGCGAUGGACUUCUUUCUCAACAUAUGAUCUCUAACGCUAUUGCUCUACAUGUGGAUGUACUUCUGAAUCCGCUAAUCACAUUUUGCUUAAUUGUCCCUUUGCCAAAGCCAUAUGGUUCAACAACACUUUAUCUUUCUUUCCUUCCGGGUGGAUACUCAAUGCUCCAUGAUUGAUUAUUGAGCUGAGACUUUUUUUGUGCAUCAAGACCUACAAGCUUCUAAAAUAAUUCUAGGAUGCAACUAAUACUAAUCGGACCCAAUCUUCCUACUUAGCUACAAGUGAGAAUCAUUUGAUCAGUCAUUGGAUGCCUCCCACUGGCUUCCUUAAGGUGAAUGGGGAUGCAACGCUUCCUCAUGGCUCUUCUAUAGGUGGAAUUGGGAUGAUCAUUCGUGACCACUGUGGCGCUCAACACUUUGCAACCUCGGAUUGAUUAGUCUCCAACUACAAUACUACUGGAGAGACUACUUCAAGCAGGGAAGGACCUCUUCAAGCCCAAACUCUUGGCCUUACUUACAAACCGAAUCUUAUAGCAGGGAGCUGAUUUCUCUCUUAUUCUCAGCUUUACAUCUCCCCCUCUGCAGGUGGCUCCGAUUAUACAAGAUAUUAAUCUCUUAGCAUCUUAGUUUGAAGCUUGUUUGUUCUUUUAUGUACCAAGAGAUACCAACAAUAUAGUAUAUACUCUUACCCA
Long non-coding RNA from Macadamia integrifolia, 1001 nucleotides. RefSeq lists it as uncharacterized. The transcript is spliced from 2 exons. NCBI's taxonomy places the organism in Eukaryota, Viridiplantae, Streptophyta, Magnoliopsida, Proteales, Proteaceae. The record is from RefSeq and is a predicted model, not a curated record.